RNAcentral lists this ribosomal RNA (301 nucleotides) under uncultured bacterium. RNAcentral's name for it is "partial 16S ribosomal RNA". It matches the Rfam family "Bacterial small subunit ribosomal RNA", at positions 509 to 809 of the family's 1533-position model. The record is from RNAcentral.
CAGCCGCCGCGGUAAUACGAAGGGGGCUAGCGUUGUUCGGAUUUACUGGGCGUAAAGCGCACGUAGGCGGAUCGAUCAGUCAGGGGUGAAAUCCCAGAGCUCAACUCUGGAACUGCCUUUGAUACUGUCGAUCUGGAGUAUGGAAGAGGUGAGUGGAAUUCCGAGUGUAGAGGCGAAAUUCGUAGAUAUUCGGAGGAACACCAGUGGCGAAGGCGGCUCACUGGUCCAUUACUGACGCUGAGGUGCGAAAGCGUGGGGAGCAAACAGGAUUAGAUACCCGAGUAGUCCCUGUCUCUUAUAA